Long non-coding RNA from Diorhabda carinulata, 1569 nucleotides. RefSeq lists it as uncharacterized. Lineage: Eukaryota; Metazoa; Arthropoda; Insecta; Coleoptera; Chrysomelidae. The record is from RefSeq and is a predicted model, not a curated record. The transcript is spliced from 3 exons.
GACAGUUCUAAAUCGAUUUUCAUUAUUGUUGAUACUACAGGACUUGAAUCACAUAAAAUAACCUCAAAUACAACAAUAAACAAAUGCUCCAUUGUUUUCCGCACUACUGUGUACUAUAUUGUUUUUUGUAUAUUUUGUAACGAGAGAGAAUAUAGUAUAAUGUCGGCAACUUAAUAGUGGGACAUUCCUUUCCGUUUAAACUGUAUAACAUAUAAGUUUAAUGUAUAUAAUAUAUAGACAAGGGAUAGUUUAGGAACCACACUCGCCGCUACUCGCUAGAUCUGUCUCUGUUCAAAGUAGCAGGUUCCUUUUGAUAGAAAACUAGUUCCAAAAAACUGUCCAAAAUGAUCACGUUCAACAUGAAAAUAAAAAUCUCUUUUAACCACAAAAAAAUACUUCUACCUAACAAACUAGUUUCCAGGAUAAUUAUUUUCUGGGAAGAAGUAUGAAACUUGUAUACUCUGAAACAUGGAAAAAGUUUUAAUAUUUCCAACAUGAUGAAAUGCUUGUUAGAAUCAGUGGAGUCCUUGAAGUAUACUUAAGAAGAGAUAAAGGUUAUAAUAGAGACUAAAGGGAAAGAGUAGAAACUAGACCAUAACAACGCCCUUGUAAACAAGCCCAAUGGAGGAUUAAUUGGUACGAGUCCGACACUACCCUAUAAUGAACAGAUGUCGAUGAGGAUUUUCCCUCCUACAAAAAUAAGGGUACAAUUUUAUGUAUAUAUUUUUCUAAAAUUGAAAACUAAGGAAAGUAUAACGCAAAGGUUACAUUGAAUUGAUAGUUAUUUGGUAUUAGGAUAAUUUUAUGUUCCCAUUUACCCGAUCUAUUAUAAAUAUAUAGUUAUCUAUAUUUUAAAGGGUAAAUAAGGGUUAUUUAAUCACAUUAAGGUAUGAAAAUUUGUCCUUUUCAAAUAAUUCUUUUUGUAUAGACUCAAAGGUAUACGGAUUAGAACCAAUUAAGACAAAAAAGUAAUAACCUUUGGAGAAGAAUAGUGAAAGCAGUAGAGGAACAAUGAAAGAAAAAUAAGUUAUUAGCUUUUAAAGCCAGCUUGAUAUCCUGUGUAUUUUUCAUAUUAAGAUGUUGUGUUUAAUGUUUCCAGAUUUCUGGCUGACAUAUUUCCGUUGCAUUUCAUUUUAUCAACAUAUAAAGAAAACACUUUAUUUUUUAUUAAAAUAUUUAUUAUAAUUAUUACAAACAUAAAAAUACAUAUCACCAGUGCAGUAUAUUUAUUAAAUAUGCAGUUAAUUAUUAAACAAGCAAUAAAUAUAAUCAAAUUAUUUUUCAUCAUUAUCAUUAUACACUGGGAAAAUAUUCAUUUGAAAAAUUCAUAAAAUAAGUUGCCAUAUAUUCAAGACAAUAUGAAUCAAAAAUAGAGAUAACUUAUUAUUUUUACAUGUUUUUAAAUAGCAAUAUUCAUUAGUAUAAAUAUCAAAGCUGACAACGAGAUUAUAAGAGAAAUUAUUGUGUUCCAAUAAUAAUGUUUCUCUGAUUAAACUUUAUCUAUCUGUCUAUCCAUUCAUAAACUUUUACAAUAAAAAAGCUUCUGAAAUAUAAGAUACAGUUAGCAGU